Molecule: ribosomal RNA, 444 nt
Filed under: uncultured Bacteroidales bacterium
Lineage: Bacteria; Pseudomonadati; Bacteroidota; Bacteroidia; Bacteroidales
Description: bacterial SSU rRNA
Rfam family: Bacterial small subunit ribosomal RNA
Source: RNAcentral
GUGAGGAAUAUUGGUCAAUGGCCGCAGGGCUGAACCAGCCAAGUCGCGUGAGGGAUGACGGUCCUAUGGAUUGUAAACCUCUUUUGUCAGGGAGCAAAGGGCGCCACGUGUGGCGCUUUGCGAGUACCUGAAGAAAAAGCAUCGGCUAACUCCGUGCCAGCAGCCGCGGUAAUACGGAGGAUGCGAGCGUUAUCCGGAUUUAUUGGGUUUAAAGGGUGCGCAGGCGGAAUGUCAAGUCAGCGGUAAAAUUUCGGGGCUCAACCCCGUCGUGCCGUUGAAACUGGCGUUCUUGAGUGAGCGAGAAGUAUGCGGAAUGCGUGGUGUAGCGGUGAAAUGCAUAGAUAUCACGCAGAACUCCGAUUGCGAAGGCAGCAUACCGGCGCUCAACUGACGCUCAUGCACGAAAGCGUGGGUAUCGAACAGGAUUAGAAACCCCAGUAGUCC